RNAcentral lists this ribosomal RNA (254 nucleotides) under uncultured archaeon. Its description in RNAcentral is "partial 16S ribosomal RNA". It matches the Rfam family "Archaeal small subunit ribosomal RNA", at positions 474 to 727 of the family's 1478-position model. The record is from RNAcentral.
CANCGGCGGCUCGAGUGGUAACCGUUAUUAUUGGGUCUAAAGGGUCUGUAGCCGGCCGGAUAAGUCUCUUGAGAAAUCUGGCAGCUUAACUGUCAGGCUUUCAGGAGAUACUGUCUGGCUCGAGGCCGGGAGAGGUGAGAGGUACUUCAGGGGUAGGGGUGAAAUCUUGUAAUCCUUGAAGGACCACCAGGGGCGAAGGCGUCUCACCAGAACGGACCUGACGGCAAGGGACGAAAGCUAGGGGCACGAACCGG